Lacerta agilis (Sand lizard) is the source of this 2399-nucleotide RNA transcript. It is a transcript of the gene named neuropilin and tolloid like 1, with no coding region annotated. The transcript has 11 exons. The record is from RefSeq and is a predicted model, not a curated record. NCBI's taxonomy places the organism in Eukaryota, Metazoa, Chordata, Lepidosauria, Squamata, Lacertidae.
UGUCUCUCCCACCACCUUGCCUGUCCGAGAAGCGAGCUCGAGGAACUGAUGACGGACCCAUCGCUCACCCCCCCUUCGAUGCAUCAAAAGAACCUCCAGGGCCGGGAAAGGUUGGCCUCGAAAUUCUCCAGGAAAUACUUGGGGCUGCUUUUGGUGUUGUAUGAAACUGGUGAUUAAAGGGGGGGAGCCUGGAAAGGAGGAGAGGAGACGAACCCUCCCCCCCCCAACCUUCACUUUCUCGAGCCUAGUGGCUCCUGCCGGUGGUGGACUGCGAUCUCUGGAAGUGGAGCUUGUGCGUCGAGGGCUCUUGCUCUCCCUUCCCCGCCUUGCCCUUCUCGGCCAGUUAUGCAGACUCCCUGUGGUGGUUGCUGCUGCUGCUGCUCCUCCUCCUGCUGCUAGGAUCCGAUGCUGGCCGCUCCGGAGCCAGGGGAUGGAGAUGGGGGGCUGAUCAACGCCAGACGACGGUGAGAGGGGAAAGGAGAGAAAGAGCUGGAGAGACGGGGGCGCUGAUCCACUUGGGUUCAGCGCGAAGCGCGCGUGGGCUUCAGGCUGCUGCUCGGGUCUCCCUCCUCUUCCCACCGCAGGAAGCCCUCUCGUCUCUAAAUGGAAUUAGUGGAGAUCGAAGCCCCUUGUGUAAGGAACAGACAUGAUCCAUGGGCGCAGCUUGUUUCACAUUGUAGCAAGUUUUAUCAUCCUACAUUGGGCUGGGGCAACAAAAAAAGGAGCAGAAAAGCAAACCACGUCAGAAGGACAAAAGACAGUGCAGUGUGGAACGUGGACAAAAUACCCCGAAGGAGGCAUCUUCACUUCUCCCAAUUACCCCAACAAAUAUCCUCCUGAGAGAGAGUGUGUCUACAUUAUAGAAGCUGCCCCAAGACAGUGUAUUGAGUUACACUUUGAUGAAAAAUACUCCAUAGAGCCUUCGUGGGAGUGUAAAUUUGAUCAUAUUGAAGUGCGAGAUGGACCUUUUGGAUUUUCCCCAAUAAUUGGUCGUUUCUGUGGACAACAAAACCCACCCAAAAUAAAAUCCAGUGGUAGAUUCCUGUGGAUUAAAUUUUUUGCUGAUGGUGAACUUGAAUCUUUGGGAUUUUCUGCACGAUACAAUUUUACACCUGAUCCGGAUUUCAAGGACCUUGGGGUUUUGAAACCAUUGCCAGUUUGUGAGUUUGAGAUGGGAGGAUCUGAAGGAAUUGUGGAAUCUGUGCAAAUUGGGAAAGAAGGGAAGGCUUCGGACACUGAGGCAGUUGAUUGUAAAUGGUACAUCCGAGCACCACCAAGAUCCAAGAUAUAUUUACGGUUCUUGGACUAUGAAAUGCAGAAUUCUAAUGAAUGCAAAAGGAAUUUUGUGGCUGUCUAUGAUGGAAGUAGCUCAGUGGAGGAUUUAAAAGCUAAGUUUUGCAGCACUGUUGCUAAUGAUGUGAUGCUGCGCACAGGUCUUGGAGUAAUCCGCAUGUGGGCAGAUGAAGGCAGCCGAAGCAGCCGAUUCCAGAUGCUCUUCACAUCUUUCCAAGAACCCCCCUGUGAAGCCAACACAUUCUUUUGCCAUAGUAACAUGUGUAUUAAUAAUACAUUGGUCUGCAAUGGACUCCAGAAUUGUGUGUAUCCAUGGGAUGAAAACCACUGCAAAGAAAAAAGAAAAGCCAACAUACUGGACCAGCUUACCAAUACCAGUGGGACAAUAAUUGGGGUCACCUCUUGUAUUGUGGUCCUCCUUAUCGUUAUCUCUGUUAUAGUACAGAUCAAACAGCCUCGUAAAAAAUAUGUCCAGAGGAAAGCAGACUUUGAUCAAACAGUAUUCCAGGAGGUGUUUGAGCCUCCUCACUAUGAGUUAUGCACUCUUAGAGGGACAGGGGCUACAGCGGACCUUGCAGACGUUGCAGAUGACUUUGAAAAUUAUCAUAAACUGCGGAGAUCAUCUUCAAAAUGCAUUCAUGACCACCACUGUGGAUCACAGUUAUCUAGCACUAAGGGCAGCCGUAGUAACCUCAGCACAAGAGAUACGCCUAUCUUGACAGAAAUUCAACCCCAGCCUGUAAAGCCUCUCAUACAGCCCAUGAACAGAAGAAAUAUCCUCGUAAUGAAGCAUAGCUACUCACAAGAUGCUGCAGAUGCGUGCGAGAUAGAUGAAAUCGAAGAGGUACCAACCACGAGUCACAGGCUAUCCAGACAUGAUAAAGCUGUCCAGCGCCAUAACAUUCCAGGUUCUGCCUCAUUGGGUCUCUAAACAAACAUGAAUCUGAGUACAACACAACUAGGGUGUAAAAGGCAAACUGAAGACUGCUUGGGAAUAGUGCGAUCCUGGGUGCUUUUGAAUAUACUACAGUGAAUUGUGAAAAUGUCGACCCUGGAACUGCAAGCUAGAGAUGUUCUGGACUCUGACCAGCUAUUCCAAUUUCAUG